RNAcentral lists this ribosomal RNA (460 nucleotides) under uncultured bacterium. RNAcentral's name for it is "partial 16S ribosomal RNA". It matches the Rfam family "Bacterial small subunit ribosomal RNA", at positions 338 to 795 of the family's 1533-position model. The record is from RNAcentral.
CCUACGGGAGGCAGCAGUGAGGAAUAUUGGGCAAUGGACGAGAGUCUGAACCAGCCAAGUAGCGUGAAGGAUGAAUGCCUUAUGGGUUGUACACUUCUUUUAUAAAGGCAUAAAACGAGGUACGUGUGCCUUGUUGCAUGUACUUCAUGAAUAAGGAUCGGCUAACUGUGGUCCAGCAGCCGGGGUAAUAAGGAGGAACAGAGCUUUAUCCGGAUUGAGUGGGUUUAAAGGGAGCGUAGAUGGGUGGGUAAUUCAGUUGUGAAAGUUUGCGGAUCAACCGUAAAAUUGCAAUUGAUACUGGCAGUCUUGAGUACAGUUGAGGUAGGCGGAAUUCGUGGUGUAGCGGUGAAAUGCUUAGAUGUCACUAAGAACCCCGAUUGCGAAGGCAGCUUACUAAACUGUGACUGACAUUGAUGCUCGAAAGUGUGGGUAUCAAACAGGAUUAGAUACCCGUGUAGUC